This is a small nucleolar RNA of Rattus norvegicus (Norway rat), 132 nucleotides long. Ensembl annotates it as small nucleolar RNA SNORA17. Lineage: Eukaryota; Metazoa; Chordata; Mammalia; Rodentia; Muridae. The record is from Ensembl.
UCUAUCCGGAGAAGUGUUACAGGCAUGGCUGCUAUGUCACAUGUGUGUCAGUAGGUGGCAGAGAGGAGAGAGGCUAUGUCUAAACUCAGUGUUCUGACCUGUGAACAUCUGAAUGAUUAGUAGCCUAACACC